This is a long non-coding RNA of Myodes glareolus (Bank vole), 433 nucleotides long. RefSeq lists it as uncharacterized. The record is from RefSeq and is a predicted model, not a curated record. Lineage: Eukaryota; Metazoa; Chordata; Mammalia; Rodentia; Cricetidae.
AAAUGGGUAGAAUGAAUCCUGAGUUGAUGGCGAGAUUUGUACAGUGUGCCUCUCUUUUCUCAACAGUCUGAUCUUUGUUCAGUCUCCUAUACCAGGACAAAGCCACAGGUUGAAGAGCUGUAAUUUUUUUAAUCUAUACUUAUAUGGAGCAUUUGCUUCCAUAAUUCAUGCAGCCUCAAGCUUUUGUGAUGAGAGGAGAACUUGCCGCUUUUGAAAAUGUGAACUCAGUUGAAAAAAAGAGAUGGGGGAGACACUGAACAGGCUCCCACCAAUUAGCUAUGUUUGCUCUAACUGAAGCCCAAACCCUGUUCCCUGCUUCUGCUCCUCAUGAUCCAAUGCAGUCAAGAAUCCCAAGGAAGAAGCAGAGUCACAAGGAAUCAGUAAUCCAGAUGUACUAUGUAAAAAGUUCAAUAAAAAGAGAAAUUAUCAAAAA